Molecule: ribosomal RNA, 399 nt
Filed under: uncultured bacterium
Lineage: Bacteria
Description: partial 16S ribosomal RNA
Rfam family: Bacterial small subunit ribosomal RNA
Source: RNAcentral
CCUACGGGUGGCAGCAGUGAGGAAUAUUGGUCAAUGGGCGCAAGCCUGAACCAGCCAUGCCGCGUGCAGGAUGACGGCCCUAUGAUUUGUAAACUGCUUUUGUACGGGAGUAACGUCAGUUACGCUUAUCUUUCUGAAUGUACCGUACGAAUAAGGAUCGGCUAACUCCAUGCCAGCCGCCGCGGUGAUACGGAGGGUUCGAGCGUUAUUCGGAUUUAUUUGGUUUAAAGGGGGCGUAGGCGGUGGGUUAAGUUAGGUGUGAAAUCCCGGGGCUCAACGUCGGAAUUGCCUAUGAUCCUGGCAGGCUUGAGAGUAGGUGAGGUAGGCGGAAUUCGUGGUGUAGCGGUGAAAUGCUUAGAGAUCAGGAAGAACACCGAUUGCGAAGGCAGCUUACUAAGC